GUUAAAGUAGCAAAGAGGGUAAAAUGCAAAAGAUUUAGGAUCUUUUAUCAAAGGUUCAAAUCCUUUCUUUAGUU
RNAcentral lists this transfer RNA (74 nucleotides) under Florometra sp. BMK-2020. RNAcentral's name for it is "tRNA-Leu". It matches the Rfam family "tRNA". From Rfam's summary of the family: Transfer RNA (tRNA) molecules are approximately 80 nucleotides in length. Their secondary structure includes four short double-helical elements and three loops (D, anti-codon, and T loops). Lineage: Eukaryota; Metazoa; Echinodermata; Crinoidea; Comatulida; Antedonidae. The record is from RNAcentral.